RNAcentral lists this ribosomal RNA (210 nucleotides) under Escherichia coli. RNAcentral's name for it is "partial 23S ribosomal RNA". It matches the Rfam family "Bacterial large subunit ribosomal RNA", at positions 1130 to 1338 of the family's 2925-position model. The record is from RNAcentral. Lineage: Bacteria; Pseudomonadati; Pseudomonadota; Gammaproteobacteria; Enterobacterales; Enterobacteriaceae.
AAGCGUAAUAGCUCACUGGUCGAGUCGGCCUGCGCGGAAGAUGUAACGGGGCUAAACCAUGCACCGAAGCUGCGGCAGCGACGCUUAGGCGUUGUUGGGUAGGGGAGCGUUCUGUAAGCCUGCGAAGGUGUACUGUGAGGUAUGCUGGAGGUAUCAGAAGUGCGAAUGCUGACAUAAGUAACGAUAAAGCGGGUGAAAAGCCCGCUCGCC